Molecule: ribosomal RNA, 399 nt
Filed under: Clostridioides difficile
Lineage: Bacteria; Bacillati; Bacillota; Clostridia; Peptostreptococcales; Peptostreptococcaceae
Description: partial 23S ribosomal RNA
Rfam family: Bacterial large subunit ribosomal RNA
Source: RNAcentral
GCAGGGCGGAUGCCUUGGCACUAGGAGCCGAUGAAGGACGUGAUAAGCUGCGAUAAGCUUCGGGGAGUUGCACGUAAACUUUGAUCCGAAGAUUUCCGAAUGAGGAAACUCACUUAGAGUAAUGUCUAAGUAUCAUUAAGUGAAUACAUAGCUUAAUGAGGGGAACUCAGGGAACUGAAACAUCUAAGUACCUGAAGGAAGAGAAAGAAAUUCGAUUCCGUAAGUAGCGGCGAGCGAACGCGGAUUAGCCCAAACCAAUAAAGUUUUCUUUAUUGGGGUUGCGGACAUAUCAUAACGGAGAGGUAUCGUAAUUGAAGAGGUUUGGAAAGACCCACCACAGAAGGUAAUAGUCCUGUAUGUUAAACGAGAAGACUUUAGAUAUGAUCCAGAGUACCACGG